RNAcentral lists this ribosomal RNA (4491 nucleotides) under Triticum aestivum (bread wheat). Its description in RNAcentral is "partial small subunit ribosomal RNA". Lineage: Eukaryota; Viridiplantae; Streptophyta; Magnoliopsida; Poales; Poaceae. The record is from RNAcentral.
AUGAGCGCCCGGGGCAUGGCCGGCGCCGAGGGCUCGCCGGCGGGCCCGGCCCUCGGCGGCGUCGACCCCUUCGAGCAGGCCAGGAAGGCGCUGUCCCUGCGGACCCCGUUCGAGGGCGAGGAGACGGCGUCCAGGGCGCCCACCCUCCCCGCGCGCCUCGUCAGCUGGUCGGGGCCCAGCGACAGGCGCAAGAAGCACAAGAAGCUCGAGCUCCCGGACGCGGCCGCCGAGGAGCGCCCGCCGCAGCUCAACGCGGCGGCGCUCUCCUCCGGGAAGAAGGGCGCGUGGGACCACUUCGAGGCGUAUUUCAGGCCGGUCAGCAUGGGCGACGUCGAAAUGUUGGCGCCCAAGCUCCCCUUCGCCCACGGGGAGCUCGACCCGUGCCUCGCCAUCCCAUUUCUGGGCACCACCCAGGACUUGCUGGACCAAGGCGAGACGUUUGAUGUCGCUGUGGCUGAGACGAGCUCCUACCUGGGCGUGGGCGGCGAGGAGGUCGUCAGUACCAAGGAGCGAAGUGGGCAGACCAUCGAUUUUGUCAGUAGCAUGAGUGUGGAGCAGGGCAUACAUGAUGUGGUCGUGCAGCAGCUGGUUACUACCAGAGAGCGUGGUGACCAGAGCCUCGAGCAGCGCUUACAUGAGGCUGUUGUGAAGCGGGAGUGGCCAAUGGAAGUGGAGCAAGGUAGUAGCAGCGGCGGCACCGCGUCACCAACAUGCGCAGAUGAGGCAGGCACAUCGAUGAAUUGGCUGCUAGGAGCAAGGCAGCGAGUUGUGCUCACUUCUGAGAGGCCAAACAAGAAGAGGAAGCUCAUAGGUGUGGAUGCUGGGUUAGAGCAGCUUGUGCUGCUUCCACGCCUGGGAGCUCAGGCUGGGACGAUGUGCGAUGUUUGCUGUUUGGGAGAGACUGACAUGGCGUCAAAUAGGAUGCUUUGCUGUAACAACUGCAAGGUUUCCGUGCACCAGUGGUGCUAUGGUUUGCAUGUUGUGCCAGAUGGCCAGUGGUUGUGCACUUGGUGCAAGUAUGUGGAGUCGACAGGGUGCUCAUUGAAGAAAGAUGCAGGCAUCACCCUUUCAAUGCCGUGUUUGCUAUGCCCAAAGGAGAAAGGGGCCCUAAAACCUGUAAUAGGGGAGCCUAGUCGAACUGCAGAUGGAGGCAACCUAAAAUUCGCACACUUAUUUUGUACUCUUUGGAGGCCAGAGGCUCUUGUGGAGGACAUGGACUCAAUGGAGCCUAUUACAAAUGUUGGAUGGGUGCAAGAGAAUCAGAGGAAACUGGUGUGUAACAUUUGCAAGGUUAAGCAUGGUGCAUGCAUUCGAUGCAGCCAUGGGGCCUGCCGGACAGCCUUUCAUCCUAUAUGUGCACGAGAGUCCAAGCACCAAAUGGAGAUAUGGGGAAAAUCUGGACUUCCUAAUGUUGAGCUGAGAGCGUUUUGCUCAAAGCAUUCUUCAGUUGGAUAUGUCAAUUCUGUAGACAAAGGUAAUAAUGCAUCUGAGCAGAGGCCUACAGAAGUGAGGCUGAACGAUGCAAAUCUCGGCAGUGGAAAGAUACCAAAACUGAGGUUCACACGCAAGAAAAAGGACAGAUCCUUGAACCAUGAAACCAGUAGCUUUAACCCUGAUAACCUUAUCAAAGUAGAGACAAUGGAGCAUGGUGCUUUGCCCCAUAAAGUUAGAAAUUUAAAUACUCAAGCAACUCGAAAUAUGGAAAUUGAUACUGAUCAUCCCUCAGUUGGUGAGAAUCUUAUGAGAAACUCUGGUGAUAUUGCUAUGGUGCUUAAAAAGCUAAUCGACAGAGGGAAUGUUAGCGUGAGUGAUAUAGCAUCCGAAGUGGGUAUUUCUUCAGCAUCCUUGGAAGCUGCUCUCGUGGGUGAAACUACGACCUUUUCCCAUGGGUUGAAGUUGAAAAUCAUCAAGUGGCUUCAAAAAUCUGCACAUAUACUAGCUGUUCAAGCAAUCACUCGUAAAGGGAGCUCAGAGGUGGUGCAAGAUAACAAACGAGAUGGGUCUGACAGUACAGAUAGUGUCAAUGUGAAGAGUUCAUUAGUCCCAGAGGACAAAGGAGCUACAUUUGAGAUGUCAGAUUCUGCUGUACCAAAACCCUCAUCACCAAGAUCUAAAGAUAACGACAAGAUUCUUGAAGAAGAGAAGGCAAUACGUGCAACUGGAACUACUUUGGAAAAUGGAAAAAAGAAAGUAGUUAAAGGAAGUGCUGAUCAUGAGUAUUUUCUUGCUGAAGAUCUUGCAAAAGAAUAUACUGGAAAUUUGUCCCAAGUUGGAGGCAAGGAUACUUCAAAGGAAGUGGAUGAAAAAUUGAUAUCAAACAGCAUCUCUGGCAAUAAAGUAUUUGAUACUUCCAUGGAGAUACCAAAUCAACUUCAAGAUACAUCACUUGGAAGGAAAAGUAACGACUUGACUGACGCUGAACUUGGCUCGGAAGUGGAGGAGUGUGUAUCUUCAUUGGAUAAAACCUCUUCUUGGGUUGAUGAUGCUAAACAUGGGUCAGAUUCAGUUGAAAAUAGCAUAUGCAAUCAUCAUGAUUGUAAUAUGGAUCACGUUCAUGGACAGCCUUUUUUCAACUUUGAUGAUUCUCAUUCUUACAUCCAUCCAUUUAUCAAGACAAAGAUUGCUCAUUUAUGGAACCAUGAUUUGAAGCAGAAUAAGCAGACACAGUAUCGUCCUGAAGAGCAAUUAUGCUCUUCCGAUGAGAAAAGGCAUGUGGAUUCCUCAGUAGAACUUACGGAAACAACAGGAAUUGAUGUGACAGAUCAAAUUUCUAAGGCAAAAGCUCUGGGAAUCCUUGAUCAUUCGCCUGAUGAUGAAGUAGAAGCAGAAAUGUUGUUCUUACAAUCUAGGCUGCUUGACAAUGCUAUGGUUCUGAAGCAUAGAUGCGAAGACUUAAUAGUAAAGGUUGUCCAGAAUCUUUCUUGCGAGUUGGAUGUUUUCAGUAAAAGGAAAUGGGACUUCAUCCGUGUCAAUCAGUUUCUUCGUGACGUUAGAGAAGCUAAGAAACGUGGCAGAAAAGAGAAGAGACAUAAAGAAGCCCAGGCUGUACUAGCAGAAGCUGCAGCUGCUGUUGCAGCCUCCUCGCGUAACUCCACUGUGAGAAAAGAUGCAAAUGAUGAUGUAGGUCGUCGAGAGAGUUCUCCAAAAUUUGGUGCUGGAUCUUCAAGAGUUGGCCAGCGGACUCCUUCAUUACCACGGCCCAAGGAUUCAUCGAAGCCAUCCAACAGCAAAGUUUCACCAGUUACUAACUCCGGCAUUUUUCAUAUGCCAAUUUACUCAAAAGAAAAUGCACUCUACUGUGAUGUAUGCAUGCGGGGUGAAACUGUGUUGAAUCGAGUAUCUGUCUGCUCCGGAUGCAAGGCUGCUGUCCACAUAGAUUGCUAUAAGUAUCUAGAGAUAUGCAUUGGCCGCUGGAAAUGUGAACUUUGUGAAGAUAUUUCACCAGAAGCUGCUAGCUCUAGUGAUCAAUCUGACAGUAAUGACACAAAAUUAUCCCUGGUACGAUGUGCCCUGUGCCAUGGAACAUCUGGUGCUUUUAGAAAGACUAUAGAUGGGCGGUGGGCUCAUGCCUUCUGCGCUGAGUGGUUGUUGGAGACGAAGUAUAUGAGAGGACAAGAUGAUCCAGUGAGCGGAAUGGAAACCCUUGUAAAGGAGAAAGAUACUUGUUGUGUCUGCAACAUCAAAGUUGGUGUGUGUCUCAAGUGCAACCGUGAGGACUGCCACACCACUUUUCAUCCUUCUUGUGCUAGAGAUGCUGGUUUCUACAUGAACAGUAAAGGAUUUGGGACUGUGGUGCAGCACAAAGCAUACUGUGGCAAACACAGCAGCGAGCAGAAAGAGACUGAUGCCUGGAAGUACUGGCCCGAGGAAGUCAAUAGCUUGAAAAGGACGAGGGUUGAGUUGGAGAAGUUCCGCCUCUUAUGCGAGAGGGUAAUUAAGAGAGAGAAGGUGAAGAGAGAGACAGUUCUGUGUGACCAUGACAUACUCGCCAAAACCAAGGAUACUGUUGUUUUCUCCUACCGAACACCCGGAGCUAGUUCAGAAUCUGCCACUACUUCGGUUAAUAAUAAAUCAUGCAGUGGAACCAUGCAACGAUCUGAUGAUGUCACGGUGGAUAGCAGUAUUUCUGGGAUAAAUACCGUCAGAUUUUCCCUUAACAACAGAGAUGCUGAGGGAAACACAGCUGAUAGCUCAAGGACACUGAUAUCUUUCAAACGGAAGUUCAGUGAGAGGGGGCCACUUGCUGGUAAGCGACUUCCACAAAGAUCAGUGAAUGCCCUACUGAAAUUGGAAGAUGGAAAACAAAAAACAAAAGAUAAUAAGCAGGCAGAAACCUUUCAAAAGGAGCUGGUUAUGACAUCUGAUCAAGCGUCCACACAGAAUCAACGCCUUCCAAAGGGAUAUGCAUAUGUACCCCGUGAUUCUCUUUCUAAAGAGAAACCAUGGAAACGAAAUACACAGACCCAUGAACCACAAGAGCCUGGUGGAUAG